CACACUCAAUGCACCCCUUAAACACACUCAAAGCACCCCUUACAGACUCACACACUUCAUCCCUUACAUACACAGAAACACACCUUGCAGCCCUUACACAUACAGACACAGAUUCACACAAUGCAUUCCUUACACACAAAUCAGGACAUCCCCUACACACUCCACCCCCUGUGAACAAACUCACUGGUGGAACAUGAAGGUGGACCCUGGGACCCAGACCUUGAGCUGUGUAAAGGGCCCCCCCAAAAAAUGGAGCUGCUUCUCGUUCUCCCAGAACAUUGAUUUUUGUGACCACAGUUACAAACAGCCUCCACAGAUCCUGUUAUACACCAGACCAGUGGAGCCAGACUGCAGCUAGAGCCCAUCAUCAUCCUCAUCUGCUUGUAAGUAGGUAAUCUAGUAUAUUAUUCGUGGCACUAAUCUCUAAUUUACC
Molecule: non-coding RNA, 433 nt
Organism: Pelobates cultripes (western spadefoot toad)
Lineage: Eukaryota; Metazoa; Chordata; Amphibia; Anura; Pelobatidae
Source: the annotation of a GenBank genome assembly